RNAcentral lists this ribosomal RNA (290 nucleotides) under uncultured Thermoplasmatales archaeon. RNAcentral's name for it is "partial 16S ribosomal RNA". It matches the Rfam family "Archaeal small subunit ribosomal RNA", at positions 339 to 628 of the family's 1478-position model. Lineage: Archaea; Methanobacteriati; Thermoplasmatota; Thermoplasmata; Thermoplasmatales. The record is from RNAcentral.
GCGCGAAAACUUCGCACUGCGCGAAAGCGCGACGAGGGAAUCCCAAGUGUAUGCACGUUUAGUGUAUACUGUUUUUUCUGUCUAAAAAGCAGAGAGAGUAAGAGCUGGGUAAGACGGGUGCCAGCCGCCGCGGUAAUACCUGCAGCUCGAGUGGUGAUCGUUAUUAUUGGGCCUAAAACGUCCGUAGCCGGUCUUUUAAAUGCCUGGGUAAAUCGUAUGGCUUAACCAUACGAAUUCUGGGUAGACUGUUAGACUUGAGACCGGGAGAAGCUAGAGGUACUCCUGGGGUA